AAACCAACAGGGAUUACCUCAGUAACGGCGAGUGAAGCGGUAACAGCUCAAAUUUGAAAUCUGGGUCUUUCAGGCUCCGAGUUGUAAUUUGUAGAAGAUGCUUCGGGUGCGGCUCCGGUCUAAGUUCCUUGGAACAGGACGUCAUAGAGGGUGAGAAUCCCGUAUGUGAUCGGUUGCUUGCGCCCAUGUGAACCUCUUUCGACGAGUCGAGUUGUUUGGGAAUGCAGCUCAAAAUGGGUGGUAAAUUUCAUCUAAAGCUAAAUAUUGGCCAGAGACCGAUAGCGCACAAGUAGAGUGAUCGAAAGAUGAAAAGCACUUUGGAAAGAGAGUUAAACAGUACGUGAAAUUGUUGAAAGGGAAGCGCUUGCAACCAGACUUGCGCGUUGCCGAUCAUCCGGGGUUCUCCCCGGUGCACUCGGCCUCGCUCAGGCCAGCAUCGGUUUUGGUGGUGGGAUAAAGGCCUUGGGAAUGUAGCUCCUUUCGGGGAGUGUUAUAGCCCUCGGUGCAAUGCCGCCUACCGGGACCGAGGACCGCGCUUCGGCUAGGAUGCUGGCGUAAUGGUUGUAAGCGAC
This 572-nucleotide ribosomal RNA is filed under the name uncultured fungus. Its description in RNAcentral is "eukaryotic LSU rRNA". It matches the Rfam family "Eukaryotic large subunit ribosomal RNA", at positions 62 to 648 of the family's 3401-position model. The record is from RNAcentral. Lineage: Eukaryota; Fungi.